AAAUAAUUCCGAUGCAUUUAAUCCGCAAUUUUCAAAAUGCACAAGCUCUAUACAGUGUUCUUGAAUUUUAGAUACAUUCAUUCAUUUUCAUUAUCUUGCAUUAACUGCGGUGCACGAAGAGAACGUGUAUACCCGGUGCAUACAACAGUUUCUCCUCAGCGAGCAUGACGCGUCAUCUGGUACACGUGUCAGAAACUCGACACGUCGCGGUCGGUCCCGGGCAGCUCGGGCAGGGCUCGGCCCCCUGCCCGAGCAGCUCUCACGAGAAAAACAACAACAACGCCCAUUUUUGAUUUCAAAAAAAUAAAAAAAGAAAUUAAAAAUCCCGAAUAUUUAGUUCCUUUUUUUUUUAUUUAUUUUUUUUCCGUUCGUCUCCUAUAAAAAAACAAAAAGGAAAAAAAACCCCCUCUCGGAAUGGACCUCUCCAACGCCUGGGAUUACUGCUCCCAACCCCACCCUCCCAAUAACCUGGUCGAGGACGAUGGACGGCGGAGAUGCGACGCGGACACGUGGGAGGGCGCCGGGCCGUUGAUGGCGGACGGCGAGGCAGGCGACGCUUCCGUGAAAUGCCGUGAGAACCGCCGCCGCAGGAUCGAGAUGCGGCGGUUCGCCACCGUCGCCGCCGGCGAGGAGAACCUCCGAAAGCGCGGCGAUCCGGACGAUCCCGACGCGCCGGACCCGGAGCCCGAGAAGCGGAUCCGUACGGCGGCCGCGCGCGGCUCUCCACCUCCGCCGGCG
RNAcentral lists this long non-coding RNA (738 nucleotides) under Ananas comosus (pineapple). RNAcentral's name for it is "long non-coding RNA (ACOM_LNC005049)". Lineage: Eukaryota; Viridiplantae; Streptophyta; Magnoliopsida; Poales; Bromeliaceae. The record is from RNAcentral.